GUGAGAUGGAGCGUACCUCGGAGGCGACUACUAGCAACAGCAGGAUUGUCUCGGUCACUGUCGACAUGUUCAAUCACUCGUGCGUUUGACGUCUAGAACUCACUGCCGUGAUGGAUGACGCUGUUUUGUCAUUACGGGUUACCGUUGUUGCGGCAACGGUGUCUGAAUGCGCAUGCUUAAUUAGUUAACACGUGUGUACUUACAUGAUGUGCUAGACAAGUUGACUUUCACUAUUA
Corticium candelabrum is the source of this 236-nucleotide long non-coding RNA. RefSeq lists it as uncharacterized. The transcript has 2 exons. The record is from RefSeq and is a predicted model, not a curated record. NCBI's taxonomy places the organism in Eukaryota, Metazoa, Porifera, Homoscleromorpha, Homosclerophorida, Plakinidae.